GACGAACGCUGGCGGCGUGCCUAAUACAUGCAAGUAGAACGCUGAAGGAGGAGCUUGCUCUUCUGGAUGAGUUGCGAACGGGUGAGUAACGCGUAGGUAACCUGCCUGGUAGCGGGGGAUAACUAUUGGAAACGAUAGCUAAUACCGCAUAACAGUAGAUGUUGCAUGACAUUUGCUUAAAAGGUGCAAUUGCACCACUACCAGAUGGACCUGCGUUGUAUUAGCUAGUUGGUGGGGUAACGGCUCACCAAGGCGACGAUACAUAGCCGACCUGAGAGGGGGAUCGGCCACACUGGGACUGAGACACGGCCCAGACUCCUACGGGAGGCAGCAGUAGGGGAUCUUCGGCAAUGGACGGAAGUCUGACCGAGCAACGCCGCGUGAGUGAAGGAGGUUUUCGGAUCGUAAAGCUCUGUUGUAAGAGAAGAACGAGUGUGAGAGUGGAAAGUUCACACUGUGACGGUAUCUUACCAGAAAGGGACGGCUAACUACGUG
RNAcentral lists this ribosomal RNA (495 nucleotides) under uncultured bacterium. Its description in RNAcentral is "partial 16S ribosomal RNA". It matches the Rfam family "Bacterial small subunit ribosomal RNA", at positions 28 to 507 of the family's 1533-position model. The record is from RNAcentral.